Molecule: ribosomal RNA, 251 nt
Filed under: uncultured prokaryote
Description: partial 16S ribosomal RNA
Rfam family: Bacterial small subunit ribosomal RNA
Source: RNAcentral
ACGUAGGGUGCGAGCGUUAAUCGGAAUUACUGGGCGUAAAGCGUGCGCAGGCGGUUCGCUAAGACAGGUGUGAAAUCCCCGGGCUUAACCUGGGAAUGGCGCUUGCGACUGGCGGGCUGGAGUACGGCAGAGGGGGGUGGAAUUCCACGUGUAGCAGUGAAAUGCGCAGAGAUGUGGAGGAACACCGAUGGCGAAGGCAGCCCCCUGGGACAUGACUGACGCUCAGGUACGAAAGCGUGGGGAGCAAACAG